This 273-nucleotide ribosomal RNA is filed under the name uncultured bacterium. Its description in RNAcentral is "partial 16S ribosomal RNA". It matches the Rfam family "Bacterial small subunit ribosomal RNA", at positions 524 to 796 of the family's 1533-position model. The record is from RNAcentral.
UACGAAGGGGGCUAGCGUUGUUCGGAAUUACUGGGCGUAAAGCGCGCGUAGGCGGACAUUUAAGUCAGGGGUGAAAUCCCAGGGCUCAACCCUGGAACUGCCUUUGAUACUGAGUGUCUGGAGUUCGGGAGAGGUGAGUGGAAUUCCGAGUGUAGAGGUGAAAUUCGUAGAUAUUCGGAGGAACACCAGAAGCGAAGGCGGCUCACUGGCCCGAUACUGACGCUGAGGCGCGAAAGCGUGGGGAGCAAACAGGAUUAGAUACCCCAGUAGUCC